UGGGGACUGGCCCAGCAUUUUAAACUUAAUCCAGGCCAUGGCCAGCUGGACCCUGAGAUGGUGCUAUCUGAGAAAGCCAAUGGGAGCACCCUCCGGGGGUGCACAGAGGAAAGGACGCUCAGCCUGACCUUCCCGAGGCUGUCCGUGCCAGCGGCUCCGCGUGAGGGAGGGGCCCGCUCCUGCUUGGUGAGAGAGUCAGCACGCGGUGGCCUGGGUGAACUGUCACCCCUACAACUCAGCUUGCAACCAGCCCUGGCCACCACCAGUUUCCCCACACUGAGCUGAAUAUUGGACAUGCCCAUCUUAGACAUUCCAGCCCAUUCUGAAAUUCCACAUCGAUUCACCCGACAAAGUCUGAAGUUCCAGGGCAAUUUAUCUGGAAAAGCUCACCUGGAAUCAUGUGUCAUUUCAACCAACAACUGUUGAAGAGGACGUGGCAUCAAAACCAAGGUUAUCAAUUAUUUAUAAGGGUUGUGUGGUGGUUGGUCCAAGCAUCUCUCCUUCAUGCCAUCACUCCUUUCAAGAGCUGCCUCUAUUUUCUAAUUUAGCACAGGAAUUUAGAUGCCCCUAAAUAAGUAGGCAUCCAGUAUCUGCCCACACCAGUUUUAGUGAGAGUACAUAUGGAGACACUACCACCACCCCUGCUCUCCUACUGCAUACCCCACCAUGCCAAAGCAUGGUGGCUCACACCUGUAAUCCCAGUGCUUUGGGAGGCCAAAGAGGAGGAACACUUGAGGCCAGAAGUAUGAGACCAGCCUGGGCAACAUAGUGAGACCUCAUUUCUAUAAAUAAG
RNAcentral lists this long non-coding RNA (793 nucleotides) under Homo sapiens (human). RNAcentral describes it as "novel transcript". Lineage: Eukaryota; Metazoa; Chordata; Mammalia; Primates; Hominidae. The record is from RNAcentral.